Molecule: long non-coding RNA, 1005 nt
Organism: Herpailurus yagouaroundi (jaguarundi)
Lineage: Eukaryota; Metazoa; Chordata; Mammalia; Carnivora; Felidae
Exons: 3
Source: RefSeq, a predicted model, not a curated record
CCGGCCCGGCCCACGUCCCUGCGAGACUUGACUUUUAUUUUUAGCAGCCUCAGCGCCACUGGCUCUCAAGCUUGCUGGGUGUGGGCCAGCCCCAGGCCACCGUUUCCCUGCCAGCGGGGGUCUCCGGGGACCGGGCUCCACGUUUGGAGCCUCUCAGGGCUGCAGUAGCACUCUGGAGCCACAGGACCAUUGGGUGGAUAAACACAAGCGAGUGAUUUAUGAUCUACGAAGUUUAAUUCCCUUGCACGUAAACUACGAAAAUAAUACCGAGAUACAACCCUUGUCUUAGGGUCUGUGACUGACGGUGCCCGUCCCCGAGCAGCACCGGGUGGCAAUCAACACUCCAAGGUUGGCUUGAUGCUUGACCAGGUGAGGGGAUUGCUCGGCACCCACCGGGGGAGGCCCGAUUCCCACAUCAGUCUCAUUUCCCUGACAGACUCCUACUGUAGAAGCACCGGCCUUCUUUACAGAUGAGGGAGUUCAGGCUGGGAGCUGGAACCCAGGCUCUACUCCACUGGUCUACAAACGGCACGUGCAUCCAAAUCACCCUGAGGGCUUAUUAGAACACGGAGUGCUGGGCCCACACCCAGGUUUUGUGACUCAGUAGUUCUGGGGUGGGGUGGGGUGAUUUGCAUUUAUCACACAUUCCCAGUUGAUGCUGAUGCUUUUGGUGCCGGGACCACACUUUGGGAACCUCUGCCCUCCACAACGAUGCCCCCUCUGGAUCAAUUUUUGGCAUUUAGGCAGACCUUAUGUUCCCCAUAAUGCCACUUCCCGCGGCGAAGAUCUGUGAUGAAUUUACCUAACCCAACACGAUACUACAGGGCUACGUUCCUGACUGUCCACCUGAUGUUCUGUCCCCAGAGGACUGCCCUCCCCGUGCUCCAUUCAGUCCUCGGGAAGUGCUCCCCCUGAACACCAGCAGGGCACAAAUUUCCUACAGUGGGGGUGCGGCCAUCAAGCAAUGAGGGUAAAUGACCCUUCAUGAUGGAUUUGCUCCUAAGU